UUUAAGUGCAGCCAUAAGCUUCCGUGUCCAAUAUUUGACCGUCCGUUUUAUUUAAAAAAUUUAUAAAAAAAAUUUAAAAAUUUAGUCAUGCAUAAAGUACUAUUCAUAUUUUAUCAUCUAAUAACAAUAAAAAUACUAAUUAUAAAAAAAAUUCAAAUAAGACGGAUAGCCAAAUGUUGGACACUGGAACCCACAACUGUGCUUAUU
Molecule: microRNA precursor, 207 nt
Filed under: Oryza barthii
Lineage: Eukaryota; Viridiplantae; Streptophyta; Magnoliopsida; Poales; Poaceae
Description: MIR812 microRNA precursor family
Rfam family: MIR812 microRNA precursor family
Source: Rfam by way of RNAcentral